AAAAAAUAAAAAUCUAAAUCAAUUUAACUUUGUCAAUGAACAGUUAAAAUCAUCUGUACGAAAAGAAGAAGGAAGGCAAAGAAGAGAGGCCGUUAACCUAAAUAUCUCGAUCAGAUCUGACUAAGCAUUGGCGUACAUCCUCUCACGCGCAUCAUUAUCGCGAUCACCCGGUUCUCAUUCUCUCUCUUUAUCUCCCGUUACGAUUUCCUCUACUUUCAGAUAACUAAUUAAAUGAAUUUAAAAAUCUCCUUUCACAUGAUUACGUGAAAUUCUUUGAAAUUUCUAUUUCAUUGCCCAACAUUAGAACAGAAGAAUUGAAAAAUGACAAUGAGAAUCAAUUAGAUUGAUUUUUUUCAUGAAAGUAUUAAUAUGCAACGAUUAGUUAAUUAAUAUAGUGAAAAGGAAAUUCGAAAAUGAAAGAUAAAAAGUGAGAAUCAAUAAUGUUCGUCCUUGUUCGUUAGUGAAUUGAAUAAAAAUGGAAAGUGUAUUGUUGCAAUUUAUGUUGAAGAAUCGAUUUAAUUAUGUGUUAAUUUUGAUCGUGUGAAGGUUAGGAUUGACCCAAGAUUCAGACACUUGCCAACCAAGUUAACAGGAUUUGAUGUUGGAAAAUUUCAAAAACUAUUAAAUCACCACUUCGCUCACUGAUUCGAUACGAUGUAAUAGAUUUUAUGGAUGAGGAAGCAUACGUCGUUUCGUUUUACACAUUCAUAGCUGGUGAAAUACGAUUUUACUUAUUUAUUUCGUAUAUUAGAUACUGUGUUAAUAGGUGGCAAAACUUCGAGAUAAAUAUUGAAGUUUCCGCUCCGAUUCCAUUCCACUUCUAACAUUUCUAACUAUUGAAGUGUUUCGUUUCAGUUCACUAAAAUUUAUGUAUAUAUAGCAUCUUUUUUCCACCUGAUUAAAUUCUGGUCUUUCCGCUUUGAAUAAUUUAAAUAUUUAUUGUUCUGUUCAGAUCCGUGUCAUUUCUUUUCAUCCGAGAUUUUACUGUUAGAAUUCGU
This is a long non-coding RNA of Apis dorsata (giant honeybee), 998 nucleotides long. RefSeq lists it as uncharacterized. The transcript is spliced from 2 exons. The record is from RefSeq and is a predicted model, not a curated record. NCBI's taxonomy places the organism in Eukaryota, Metazoa, Arthropoda, Insecta, Hymenoptera, Apidae.